CGGCGUGCCUCGGCAUCAGCG
This 21-nucleotide small nuclear RNA is filed under the name Arabidopsis thaliana (thale cress). Its description in RNAcentral is "snRNA_16927". Lineage: Eukaryota; Viridiplantae; Streptophyta; Magnoliopsida; Brassicales; Brassicaceae. The record is from RNAcentral.